RNAcentral lists this transfer RNA (56 nucleotides) under Mastigoproctus giganteus (giant whipscorpion). RNAcentral describes it as "tRNA-Gln". Lineage: Eukaryota; Metazoa; Arthropoda; Arachnida; Uropygi; Thelyphonidae. The record is from RNAcentral.
UUAAAAUAGGUGUAUGAAGCAUUUUAAUUUUUGAGGUUAGAGGAAAAUAUUUUAUC